RNAcentral lists this long non-coding RNA (1246 nucleotides) under Sarcophilus harrisii (Tasmanian devil). RNAcentral's name for it is "lncRNA (ENSSHAG00000024901.1)". Lineage: Eukaryota; Metazoa; Chordata; Mammalia; Dasyuromorphia; Dasyuridae. The record is from RNAcentral.
CUGUAUGUUGUUACGUCUCAGGGGUCCUUCGGCAUCGGGCCUGUCAAUGUCUGGCUGUUCCAGCCAUGGCCUGGAGGCCCCUCCACCCAUGUCCCGCUCCCACCGGCUGGCAGCACCUCUCUCAGGCCCAACUGCCCCUGGCAGACCAGCUCAUGCUAGGGUCCUGCUCCCUGGGGGGGGGGUCUCUGACACCAGGGGUCAUCCACCAGCCAACCAGCAGCAGGCCUGGGGGAGGGCAGACAGGCCAGGGCCUCAUCCACAACUGGGCCCAACAACCUUCCAAUGAGGGGGCAUGGCCCAUCCAGCUUUUAGGAAGGAGCUGUGCAGCGGCAGGGGGAGGGCAGACAGGCCGGGCCUCAUCCACAACUGGGCCCAACAACCUUCCAAUGAGGGGGGCAUGGCCCAUCCAGCUUUUAGGAAGGAGCUGCCCAGCGGCAGGGGGAGAGCAGUCCCUGAGGGAGGAGCCAUAAACCACACUUGUCCAUGGGGGAAGUGGCUAGCUCGGCUCCCCUCAGUCUCCUGGGGCGGCUGAGAGGAUGGAGGAGAGGAAGACAUAGAAGGGGGAGUGCUCCCAAACCAAGGUGGCCACGGGCAGUUGGGGACCAGCCUUGUUGGGCAUCCGCUGGGCAUGCCCUGAAAAGAGCUGGGAUGCAGAGAGGGUACUGCCAGGUAUUUGAGACCACCUUGAACAGCGGAGCCCACUCUCCCGAGGUGCCAUUGGAAGAAUAAAACGUGAGCCAGUCCUGGCUGCAGGAUACAGAAGAGUCUGCUUCCGGGCCAGUUUGUCCUUGGAGGAUACUUCCACCUCCCAGGCCCUCAGGUUGGAAACCUUGGAGUCGCCCUGGACACCACACUCUCUCACCCACUAUCUCUCAGCCAUGUGCCAAGGCCUGUGCCUGUCACCUUGGCAGCAUCUUUCCCCUGCUACCCCAACCCUCCUCCCAGACCCUCCUUCAGCCAUACCUGGACCCAGACUGAGGCAGUCCGAGUUUCUGCCUGUCUCACUCCAGCCCCAUUCUGGGACUCAGUGAUCCUGCUAGCUCUGGGCCCCCCUCCCCCAAUGUACUCCAAGACCAAAUGAAAAAUUCGGUUUGUUAUCUAAGUCGUUCAUCACGUGAGCCCCUCUCUUGGUCUUCUUACUGCCCCCCCCCAAUAAAAGAACACCCUCCAAGAGGUACCUGUCUCCAGACACAGAUUGCCUCCCGGCUGUGGUCAUUUCCCAGGGCUCCCCCCCUUCCCUGAAUCC